Molecule: ribosomal RNA, 462 nt
Filed under: uncultured bacterium
Lineage: Bacteria
Description: bacterial SSU rRNA
Rfam family: Bacterial small subunit ribosomal RNA
Source: RNAcentral
GGACCCGCACAAGCAGCGGAGCAUGUGGUUUAAUUCGAAGCAACGCGAAGAACCUUACCAAGACUUGACAUCGCAUGAAGGAUGCAGAAAUGCAAACGCCCUUCGGGGCAUGCAGACAGGUGGUGCAUGGUUGUCGUCAGCUCGUGUCGUGAGAUGUUGGGUUAAGUCCCGCAACGAGCGCAACCCUUAUCAAUAGUUGCCAAUAUUAAGUUAGGAACUCUAUUGAGACUGCCGUGGAUAACACGGAGGAAGGUGAGGAUGACGUCAAAUCAUCAUGCCCCUUACGUCUUGGGCUACACACGUGCUACAAUGGCUAUUACAAAGAGCAGCGAAACAGUAAUGUCAAGCGAAUCUCAUAAAGAUAGUCUCAGUUCAGAUUGUGGGCUGCAACCCGCCCACAUGAAGUAGGAGUUGCUAGUAAUCCCGAAUCAGAAUGUCGGGGUGAAUUCGUUCCCGGGUCUU